CCUACGGGUGGCUGCAGUGGGGAAUAUUGGACAAUGGGGGCAACCCUGAUCCAGCCAUGCCGCGUGUGUGAAGAAGGCCCUCGGGUUGUAAAGCACUUUCAGUGAGGAAGAACGCCUGGUGGUUAAUACCCAUCAGGAAAGACAUCACUCACAGAAGAAGCACCGGCUAACUCCGUGCCAGCAGCCGCGGUAAUACGGAGGGUGCGAGCGUUAAUCGGAAUUACUGGGCGUAAAGCGCGCGUAUGUGGCUUGAUAAGCCGGUUGUGAAAGCCCCGGGCUCAACCUGGGAACGGCAUCCAGAACUGUCAAGCUAGAGUGCAGGAGAGGAAGGUAGAAUUCCCGGUGUAGCGGUGAAAUGCGUAGAGAUCGGGAGGAAUACCAGUGGCGAAGGCGGCCUUCUGGACUGACACUGACACUGAGGUGCGAAAGCGUGGGUAGCAAACAGGAUUAGAUACCCUGGUAGUC
This 465-nucleotide ribosomal RNA is filed under the name Vreelandella stevensii. RNAcentral describes it as "partial 16S ribosomal RNA". It matches the Rfam family "Bacterial small subunit ribosomal RNA", at positions 338 to 795 of the family's 1533-position model. The record is from RNAcentral. Lineage: Bacteria; Pseudomonadati; Pseudomonadota; Gammaproteobacteria; Oceanospirillales; Halomonadaceae.